GAUGAACGCUGGCGGCGUGCCUAAUACAUGCAAGUCGAGCGAACAGACGAGGAGCUUGCUCCUCUGACGUUAGCGGCGGACGGGUGAGUAACACGUGGAUAACCUACCUAUAAGACUGGGAUAACUUCGGGAAACCGGAGCUAAUACCGGAUAAUAUAUUGAACCGCAUGGUUCAAUAGUGAAAGACGGUUUUGCUGUCACUUAUAGAUGGAUCCGCGCCGCAUUAGCUAGUUGGUAAGGUAACGGCUUACCAAGGCAACGAUGCGUAGCCGACCUGAGAGGGUGAUCGGCCACACUGGAACUGAGACACGGUCCAGACUCCUACGGGAGGCAGCAGUAGGGAAUCUUCCGCAAUGGGCGAAAGCCUGACGGAGCAACGCCGCGUGAGUGAUGAAGGUCUUCGGAUCGUAAAACUCUGUUAUUAGGGAAGAACAAAUGUGUAAGUAACUAUGCACGUCUUGACGGUUCCUAAUCAGAAAGCCACGGCUAACUACGUG
RNAcentral lists this ribosomal RNA (497 nucleotides) under uncultured bacterium. RNAcentral's name for it is "partial 16S ribosomal RNA". It matches the Rfam family "Bacterial small subunit ribosomal RNA", at positions 28 to 507 of the family's 1533-position model. The record is from RNAcentral.